RNAcentral lists this ribosomal RNA (868 nucleotides) under Trichocladium griseum. Its description in RNAcentral is "partial large subunit ribosomal RNA". It matches the Rfam family "Eukaryotic large subunit ribosomal RNA", at positions 36 to 937 of the family's 3401-position model. The record is from RNAcentral. Lineage: Eukaryota; Fungi; Ascomycota; Sordariomycetes; Sordariales; Chaetomiaceae.
UAGCAUAUCAAUAAGCGGAGGAAAAGAAACCAACAGGGAUUGCCCUAGUAACGGCGAGUGAAGCGGCAACAGCUCAAAUUUGAAAUCUGGCUUCGGCCCGAGUUGUAAUUUGUAGAGGAUGCUUUGGGCGCGGCUCUAACUGAGUUCCCUGGAACGGGACGCCACAGAGGGUGAGAGCCCCGUAUAGUUAGAUGCCUAGCCUAUGUAAAGCUCCUUCGACGAGUCGAGUAGUUUGGGAAUGCUGCUCUAAAUGGGAGGUAAAUUUCUUCUAAAGCUAAAUAUUGGCCAGAGACCGAUAGCGCACAAGUAGAGUGAUCGAAAGAUGAAAAGCACUUUGAAAAGAGGGUUAAAUAGCACGUGAAAUUGUUGAAAGGGAAGCGCUUGUGACCAGACUUGCGCCGGGCAGAUCAUCCGGUGUUCUCACCGGUGCACUCUGCCCGGCUCAGGCCAGCAUCGGUUCUCGUGGGGGGAUAAAGGUCCCGGGAACGUAGCUCCUCCGGGAGUGUUAUAGCCCGGGGCGUAAUGCCCUCGUGGGGACCGAGGUUCGCGCAUCUGCAAGGAUGCUGGCGUAAUGGUCAUCAGCGACCCGUCUUGAAACACGGACCAAGGAGUCAAGGUUUUGCGCGAGUGUUUGGGUGUAAAACCCGCACGCGUAAUGAAAGUGAACGUAGGUGAGAGCUUCGGCGCAUCAUCGACCGAUCCUGAUGUAUUCGGAUGGAUUUGAGUAAGAGCGUUAAGCCUUGGACCCGAAAGAUGGUGAACUAUGCUUGGAUAGGGUGAAGCCAGAGGAAACUCUGGUGGAGGCUCGCAGCGGUUCUGACGUGCAAAUCGAUCGUCAAAUCUGAGCAUGGGGGCGAAAGACUAAUCG